This 322-nucleotide long non-coding RNA is filed under the name Cricetulus griseus (Chinese hamster). RNAcentral describes it as "lncRNA (ENSCGRG00015041811.1)". The record is from RNAcentral. Lineage: Eukaryota; Metazoa; Chordata; Mammalia; Rodentia; Cricetidae.
UUUUCUGUUUUUGUUUGUUUGGGAUAGGUUCUCACAUGUCUUGGCUGGUUUUUGACUUCUCUAGUAGACCAGGCUUGGUCUUGAACCCUUGCUCUUCCUGUCUCAUACUCCCAAGAGCAUUCCACACUUUGCUGGAAAAUGUUAUUUUACACUGUACUCUGAAGAAAGCAAGAGUCACCCAUUCAAAUGACAAGAGGCUGGCUCUCCAUGCGAUGAACAGACCUGUCCAGAAAGAUAAUGCCACAGAGAAAUAGCUGUCCUGAGGUCUAGCUCACUGCCUCGCUAGGAACGGAAGACAAAGAACACUGCAGCUGGCUUUGUU